GGAGGGGCCAGCCGACGGAUGGCGACGGCCACGGUUUCGAAAACCGUUGGGGGCUCAGCGUCCCGUGCGAGUUCGAUCCUCGCCCUCUCCG
This 91-nucleotide transfer RNA is filed under the name Actinomadura sp. HBU206391. RNAcentral's name for it is "tRNA-Ser". The record is from RNAcentral. Lineage: Bacteria; Bacillati; Actinomycetota; Actinomycetes; Streptosporangiales; Thermomonosporaceae.